Molecule: long non-coding RNA, 608 nt
Organism: Hemicordylus capensis (graceful crag lizard)
Lineage: Eukaryota; Metazoa; Chordata; Lepidosauria; Squamata; Cordylidae
Exons: 2
Source: RefSeq, a predicted model, not a curated record
GCGCUCCACACGAGUGCCUGACUGCGCUGCAGGCAGAAGGACCCAGUCUCAGUGUAAAAGCUAGGUUGGAGCAAGGUGCUCUACACAAGUGCCUGACUGCGCUGCAGGCAGAAGGACCCAGUCCCAAACAGUGAGCUAAAUUGCUUCUUCAUAUCCUUGCUUCUGCACACCCCUUUCCUGCCGAGACCCAGCACUAGGCACAGCCGUGCCAGAGUCCCGAUCCUGCACCUUCUGCCAGUAGCAACUACACAGGUAUGGCGUCUCAGUGGGAUCCUACAGUAGUAAUGUCUCCAGACUCAGAGACACAGGCCUCCACCUCAGCACAGUCAGUGGCUCCAUUCCCCUCACAUAGACAGGCCAAGACAGGCCAGGAUAGGACAGGUACACUCACCUCAGAAAAAGCUGCUGUUUUGUGGGUUGCUACAGCACAAGACAUAAAACUAGACAUUGACUCACUGACCAGGGGGAAACGGUCUCAGACAUCUGGCCACAAAACAAAUAGAACAUGAUUAAUGCGCGAGGAUGGCGUGUUAUAUGGUGUCUCAGGGUGAGGAAGGAUCUAUACUUCUACUAAGACUAAGUAUCUUAAUAAAAAAUUCAGCCCGCGA